Molecule: non-coding RNA, 83 nt
Organism: Glycine max (soybean)
Lineage: Eukaryota; Viridiplantae; Streptophyta; Magnoliopsida; Fabales; Fabaceae
Source: Rfam
GGAUAUGAUGAUAGUAUUUUGUCGCCCCAGUCUUAAUUUGCUCCACAAGGUGUAAAUAUGGUGAUUGACACUAUAACUGAUCC